AGCCAAGCGCGGACGGAUACACAGAAUCAGCUGAUUGUGUUUACUCUCGAGAAUUUGGGAAACUUCGACCCGUGUUUAGCAAAACAUGGUGUCAGAAAGGACAGCAUAAUGAGAACCUCCAUGCCAGAGUGAACUAGCUUAAUUAAGUCACGAAUAGACCAAAACGACGUUGACGAGAGGAACGAUUUGAUCAUGAACUGAGUUUUAUAUUGGAUUUGGAUACCUCUUUGGUGACGACUGCAUAAUGAAACAAGAUCAGGGACAGGAAAUGGAACGAUAAAUAGAUUGAAGACAUAUAUAUAUAUAACAAUUGUCAGAGUCUCUUGACAAUGUUAUCCUCACCUGUCCAAGUCCCAUUACAAGGGAUUUGAGAUAGCCUCACCGUCACCAUGGAUCCAGAGUGAUGUAGCAGAUGGAACCCACGCAUAGUGAUUGAAGAAUAUUUACUAUUCCUUCACCAUGGGAUCGACUCAAGUCCCUCCAACGGGGGCCCAGAGCGAGGGCGUCCCGGUAGCUAUCACGUGGGUUGGCCAGGAUCGCCUGCGGCCGACUCACCUCCGAGCAACAUUGACGCGACUGUUGCAGCGUGAGACCGAGGAAUGGGAGCCUGUCACCUUCAGCUACAUAACAGGAGAGAUGUUUUCACAAUAUGAGGAAGG
Molecule: long non-coding RNA, 659 nt
Filed under: Penaeus japonicus
Lineage: Eukaryota; Metazoa; Arthropoda; Malacostraca; Decapoda; Penaeidae
Description: uncharacterized LOC122258601, transcript variant X2
Source: RNAcentral